GGAAUUUUUUGUUUCUCAAUUGUCUGUCUGACUGAACCUUUUUGUCACCUGCCAAUUCAAUUACGGGCUGCUGAAGAAGGAACCAGAGUUAUGGAAGUAUGGAAUUGUUGUCUCCAAAGUGAAGGNNNNNNNNNCAUUAUUAUCAUUAUAAUCUCCAACGCGAAGGAACCAUAUGGUAUUUCAUUUGCACCACCAAAGGAUUUACAAUAUUGAUAGGUUUGGAUUGUUGGUUUAAUUUUGUGGCAG
This 246-nucleotide unclassified non-coding RNA is filed under the name Hevea brasiliensis (rubber tree). Lineage: Eukaryota; Viridiplantae; Streptophyta; Magnoliopsida; Malpighiales; Euphorbiaceae. The record is from RNAcentral.